Molecule: non-coding RNA, 559 nt
Organism: Heterocephalus glaber (naked mole-rat)
Lineage: Eukaryota; Metazoa; Chordata; Mammalia; Rodentia; Bathyergidae
Source: RefSeq, a predicted model, not a curated record
UGAAAUUAGAGAAAACAAAAACGUGACCUAUCUCAAACACAGCUGUACUUCCAAGUCUUUAGUUCGUUUGUGCUAAACCAUUAGACAUUUGCUCUGAGCUUCUCAGCAUACGAUCACAUUUUCCGCCUGCAAUGAAUGCCGAGAUGAUGCAGCAGGUUUAACAUGCUACACUUGAAGCUGAAGGUGACCUAGAGUAAACUUCGGUCAUGAAAAUAGUAAAUUGUCUGCCCAGAGGCAUUCCUGUCUACCUUUGAAGUAUGACCUUGACAUGGGCAUGCUUAAUAUGUGCCUACUUCAACAUGCGAUGGUAGUGCUCAGUUUCUAUAUGAACAGGUGUAAGAAAAAGCGCUUCACUUCAACCAAUACUUUUUAAUGUAGUACUAGUAUUUGCAAACAUUUAUACGUGAUUUUUCUUCACUACCUGAAUUUCCACAUGUUCUCUGGAUGAAUGACUCUUACAGCAUGGCCACAGACACCAGGAAAAGGCAUUUGUCCAGGAAUUAUGUCAGGGUAUUUUGUUUAAUUGUUGCAUUUUGGUUCUAGUAACAGCAAUGUUAUA